Molecule: unclassified non-coding RNA, 785 nt
Filed under: Hevea brasiliensis (rubber tree)
Lineage: Eukaryota; Viridiplantae; Streptophyta; Magnoliopsida; Malpighiales; Euphorbiaceae
Source: RNAcentral
UUUUAAUAUAUCUUUCAAAAUUACAAUCCAUUCAGUAAUCACAAUAAAAAGAGAACAUCCUAAUUUGAUAAGAAAGAAGCUAAGUGUUUGAUUAAAUUCUCAGAACUGAGUCCCUGAAUUCAUAAUGUGGAAGGCAUGAUUCUCUCCCUCCACUUCAAUCAUUUCAAUAUCUCCUUUCCACCCACUUUUCUUCACUGCUUCAUAGUAAGAAACGCCUCUAUCCCUUAACAUGUCCAAGGAAGCAACAGUCACUAGCAACCUAGAGCACCCAAGUUUAGCCAAGCUUGGAGCUCCUGGAGCAACUGGAUUGAUCAGUGGACUGUCAAUACCACCAAUUGCUAAUGGAUUGACAAAAUCCCAACGCAUAUGGACAAUUGUAUUCUCACGUUCUACUAUAGUCUCCGAUCCUAUUGGCUUUGAACCCCAAAAAUAUGGAUGUGUAAGAAAAGCUCCUGAGAUUUUAACACCACCAGGUAAGCUCUCACUGCCAGCCUGCAUCACCAUUUUAUGCACAAUAUUGGCUGCUGCACUGUCACCGCCAACAAAAAGACGACCAAAAUCACCUUUGUUUGAUAGCCAUGGCUCUUUGUUAAUAUCAUUAUGAUCAAAGAGUGAUAAUGAGGCGACCCACCGGAGGGCAUUCCAGCAAUCUUCAUAGGCAGCAGGAAGAAAGUGUUCAGGGGCUAGCCUGUACUCUAUUGAUAUAGCAACAACUUUGGAUUAAGAACCAGGCUGUUGAGGAAUUUGGUAUGGUCCGAAGAAAAGGCAGACUCGAAGCAAAAGCC